UACCAGCACCCCGAGUGGUCGGGACGAUUAUUGGGCCUAAAGCAUCCGUAGCCGGUCAUGCAAGUCUUCCGUUAAAUCCAGCCGCUCAGCGGUUGGGCUGCGGAGGAUACUACGUGGCUAGGAGGCGGGAGAGGCAAGCGGUACUCAGUGGGUAGGGGUAAAAUCCUUUGAUCCAUUGAAGACCACCAGUGGCGAAGGCGGCUUGCCAGAACGCGCUCGACGGUGAGGGAUGAAAGCUGGGGGAGCAAACCGG
RNAcentral lists this ribosomal RNA (253 nucleotides) under uncultured bacterium. RNAcentral describes it as "partial 16S ribosomal RNA". It matches the Rfam family "Archaeal small subunit ribosomal RNA", at positions 474 to 727 of the family's 1478-position model. The record is from RNAcentral.